Molecule: ribosomal RNA, 254 nt
Filed under: uncultured bacterium
Lineage: Bacteria
Description: partial 16S ribosomal RNA
Rfam family: Bacterial small subunit ribosomal RNA
Source: RNAcentral
UACGUAGGGAGCAAGCGUUGUCCGGAAUCAUUGGGCGUAAAGGGCGCGUAGGUGGCCCGGUCAGUUCGUGGUGAAAGCGCGGGGCUCAACCCUGCGUCGGCCAUGAAUACUGCCGCGGCUGGAGCACUGUAGAGGCAGGCGGAAUUCCGGGUGUAGCGGUGGAAUGCGUAGAGAUCCGGAAGAACACCGGUGGCGAAGGCGGCCUGCUGGGCAGUUGCUGACACUGAGGCGCGACAGCGUGGGGAGCAAACAGG